Molecule: ribosomal RNA, 292 nt
Filed under: uncultured bacterium
Lineage: Bacteria
Description: partial 16S ribosomal RNA
Rfam family: Bacterial small subunit ribosomal RNA
Source: RNAcentral
GUGCCAGCCGCCGCGGUAAUACGGAGGGGGUUAGCGUUGUUCGGAAUUACUGGGCGUAAAGCGCGCGUAGGCGGACAUUUAAGUCAGGGGUGAAAUCCCGGGGCUCAACCCCGGAACUGCCCUUGAUACUGGGUGUCUAGAGUUCGAGAGAGGUGAGUGGAAUUCCGAGUGUAGAGGUGAAAUUCGUAGAUAUUCGGAGGAACACCAGUGGCGAAGGCGGCUCACUGGCUCGAUACUGACGCUGAGGUGCGAAAGUGUGGGGAGCAAACAGGAUUAGAAACCCGAGUAGUCC